CCGCGCAGUGUGCGCGGAGAGCCGGGGUGGAGAUUGGCAGGGGGCGGGGAGAGGAACCGAACUGACGUGUGAGGCGUGGGAGCCAGGAGGGGCUCUAGCGUAGCCGCUUCCCUCUCGCUUUGCCAACCGCGAGGCUGCCCUAGUUGGAAACUGGGGAGUCAGGGGUCUCGUCACUUACGAAGCGGAUUGGCUCCUGGACUCUGGGGCCUCGAACUGUCGGGGAGACUGACCGGCAAGAGCCCCUGCAGCCGAGUGGCCGGGAGCCAGUCGGAUUGGCCGGAGCUGGCGUCUGGCCGAGCCGUCGGAGCUUGGCUGGUCCAAGCUUGCAGCUGGCCCGGGCUAUCCGAAUGGCAUGUCCCAAAGAUGGGAUGCCCCUUUCACCUGGGUCCCAGAAUAAUGGAACAAACUUGAAGAUGACUGUGAUUGACAAAUAAUAUGAAGAGAAAGAAUCCUUCCUGUCCUUUUUGUCUGGAGGAUCAUGUGAUUUGCAGACAGUGAACCCAAGGCCUCAUAGCCCUGAUGCUGCACUUUGCUCUUUUACAAGAGUUGCUGCUUUCCCAACACCCCCACCUGCCAGGAGGAGAGGAAACCAGAGGUACUUGCUAUGACCAUCUUUUUGGCACAAUCUGUUGCUGGUACAUUGAGUGUCAGCUACUGCUUUUUUUUACUUCUCUUUAUUAUUAAUUCUGGGCCCCCGAGCAAAAGUUUUUGAAGGCCUUUCCCCUCCUUGUUAAUUAUAACAUGGUAUCAGUCAGAGUCCAAGCAGAAAACAGAUGAGCAUUCAAACAGAGUAAUUUGAGGAGAAUUCAAUAAAGAAACUCUUCACAAAGGUGUGGACACUAUUUACAGAAACCAACAAGGGAUGGCACCGUCCCCAGGACUUGUGAUAGGGAGAGGCAUUACUACUGCAGGCCUGAAGAUGGAGAAUAUGGAGCUAUUUCCACACCCUGGAGAGGGUGGUUGUAUGGAGAGGACGGCCUGAAAGGAGAGUUUGCAGCCAACACACAGCAAGAGAGCAAGGGAAAGAAAUAACCCAGCCUCGCUUUUCUUCUGCUGGUGCCUCUCACUGCCAAACCUGACCCUGAGCUGGGCAUGAAGGGAGCCAGCUGACAUCUGUAUGGGUCAGCCUCCUGGGGCACAGAGCAGGACAGAACUGAGGAGAGAAGGAGUCUGGAGAGGCUAAUGGAAGAAACCACAGAAAGCAAAUUCCUCCCUAAGGUACAGCUGGUUCUUAAGCAGUUUCUGUACUGUUAGGAAUGCGGCAACGUAUCUUGGAAGAACUUAAUUAAGGCCUCCACCCUCUGCUAGCCACCCUGAGGUUGUGCCUGUCAGAAUUACAGUUUUCUGCAAGGUUUUUCCUGAUGGUCAGUGUUUAGUCCCCUCCACCUUCAAGGAAAGGACACAUGGUAAUUUUAUUUAAAAAAAGACAUGUAGAAGUCCUUCCUUUUAGUCAGGUGCUGGAGUUUCCCCACUUUAGAGCAAAGGAGAAACAUCUAGACAGAAAGGCAGUUUCACUCUGAAGUAAUUGAAGCUUAAGCUUUGGGGUCCCUUGCUUGGACCUCUGUGAAUGUUGGGAGUUUCUGGGGUUGGUAGAAUGUUCUAAGUGGGGGAGGGAAGUCAGAUUGCACUUCUAUGUAAACAUUUCUAGUAAAUUGCCCAGAGAAGUGUCACAAGGAAGAGAUCUGGCCUUCCAAAGUUCCAAAGUUCCAAGGUAAUUUGUCAUGAAUCCUUUUCUUAUCCUUAAUAAAUAUUCAUUUUUUGUA
Neofelis nebulosa (Clouded leopard) is the source of this 1763-nucleotide long non-coding RNA. RefSeq lists it as uncharacterized. The transcript has 3 exons. The record is from RefSeq and is a predicted model, not a curated record. Lineage: Eukaryota; Metazoa; Chordata; Mammalia; Carnivora; Felidae.